ACACAGUUUCCUUGAAACAGAAACGAAAGUGAAACUGAGCAGAGAGCAGCCCCCUUUCAGUUGCUUUGAACGCAGUUAUUAUUUGGAGAAUUUGGUGAAAACUGCAAAGCCACAUGACAGCAAGACGUUUACAGAAAGCGUGACAUAUCCGGCAUUGUUCUACACCUCUGAUAAUCACUGGUGUUGCUGUAAGGGCAACAUCAACCCUCCCUGCACAUGUGGUCAUCAGGCCUUGCGACAUACCAAAAUGCACUUUCAAAAUGAGGAAAACCAGAAACAAUACAGAAAUGAGUUUAAUUUAUUGUUUUCUAAGCUACGCUUUCACUUUGACGCACUUUCAUUUUGAUAUAUUGCAUGUUCAGUCAUAAGGGUUGCUGAUAAAUACUCGUAAUGGCCAGUGACACUGAUAAGGCUUGAACAACGGUUAAAGUGAACAGUUAUCUUCCAGUAAACAUUACAGAGCACACAUAUCUGCUGGAAAGCUGCUGUUAGGUUGUUGUGAUGUAGGCGUUAUGGCAGUGUGUCCUGGCACACUAAACCAACUAAUAAAUCAUCUUUAAAAAUGCUUCAUUGUUAGAUUUGUGUGUGCGUGCAGUGCGUGUGUUCUUCAGUUUCAUUUU
Cottoperca gobio is the source of this 620-nucleotide long non-coding RNA. RefSeq lists it as uncharacterized. The record is from RefSeq and is a predicted model, not a curated record. Lineage: Eukaryota; Metazoa; Chordata; Actinopteri; Perciformes; Bovichtidae. The transcript has 3 exons.